GUGCCAGCCGCCGCGGUAAUACGUAGGGUGCAAGCGUUAAUCGGAAUUACUGGGCGUAAAGCGUGCGCAGGCGGUUAUGUAAGACAGAUGUGAAAUCCCCGGGCUCAACCUGGGACCUGCAUUUGUGACUGCAUGGCUGGAGUACGGCAGAGGGGGAUGGAAUUCCGCGUGUAGCAGUGAAAUGCGUAGAUAUGCGGAGGAACACCGAUGGCGAAGGCAAUCCCCUGGGCCUGUACUGACGCUCAUGCACGAAAGCGUGGGGAGCAAACAGGAUUAGAUACCCUGGUAGUCCACGCCCUAAACGAUGUCAACUGGUUGUUGGGUCUUCACUGACUCAGUAACGAAGCUAACGCGUGAAGUUGACCGCCUGGGGAGUACGGUCGCAAGACUAAAACUUAAAUAAAUUGGCGG
RNAcentral lists this ribosomal RNA (411 nucleotides) under uncultured bacterium. RNAcentral's name for it is "bacterial SSU rRNA". It matches the Rfam family "Bacterial small subunit ribosomal RNA", at positions 505 to 916 of the family's 1533-position model. The record is from RNAcentral.